Molecule: ribosomal RNA, 495 nt
Filed under: uncultured bacterium
Lineage: Bacteria
Description: partial 16S ribosomal RNA
Rfam family: Bacterial small subunit ribosomal RNA
Source: RNAcentral
GAUGAACGCUGGCGGCGUGCCUAAUACAUGCAAGUAGAACGCUGAAGGAGGAGCUUGCUUCUCUGGAUGAGUUGCGAACGGGUGAGUAACGCGUAGGUAACCUGCCUGGUAGCGGGGGAUAACUAUUGGAAACGAUAGCUAAUACCGCAUAAGAGUAGAUGUCGCAUGACAUUUGCUUAAAGGGUGCAAUUGCAUCACUACCAGAUGGACCUGCGUUGUAUUAGCUAGUUGGUGAGGUAACGGCUCACCAAGGCAACGAUACAUAGCCGACCUGAGAGGGUGAUCGGCCACACUGGGACUGAGACACGGCCCAGACUCCUACGGGAGGCAGCAGUAGGGAAUCUUCGGCAAUGGACGGAAGUCUGACCGAGCAACGCCGCGUGAGUGAAGAAGGUUUUCGGAUCGUAAAGCUCUGUUGUAAGAGAAGAACGAGUGUGAGAGUGGAAAGUUCACACUGUGACGGUAUCUUACCAGAAAGAGACGGCUAACUACGUG